GUGCGAGACCGAUAGCGAACAAGUACCGUGAGGAAAAGAUGAAAAGAACUUUGAAAAGAGAGUUAAAGAGUACCUGAAACUGCUGAAAGGGAAGCGAAUCGUAUCCAGUGUCUAUAAUCUGCGGCAUAUUUCAUUGGCGGCGGUGCGCGUGCUUUUGCGUCGGAAGCGGCUUUUGUUGCUCUGUGCUUUUGCUGUGCGUGGUGUUGCUGGUGCCCUGUGUUGCGGUGGGACGUCAGAGCCAGUUUGUAUGCUGCGGGAAAUGGCUGCCGAGGAGGUAGGUCGAGAUUUCGGUCUUGGCUGUUAUAUCUUGGUGGUUUGUUGUCGUGGUUGAGACUGAGGUGCCUACAAUGUGCUUUUGAGCGCGCCGGGUUCUCAUUUGGUGGACUGUUUGGAUAGCUUGCUAUGCUUGUGGUUUUUUCAUCGGGUGAUUGAGUCUGGUGGUAACUUGUUGCUGUUCGGGACUUUGA
This 467-nucleotide ribosomal RNA is filed under the name uncultured Oomycota. RNAcentral describes it as "LSU rRNA". It matches the Rfam family "Eukaryotic large subunit ribosomal RNA", at positions 326 to 629 of the family's 3401-position model. The record is from RNAcentral. Lineage: Eukaryota; Oomycota.